UACGUAGGGUGCAAGCAUUAAUCGGAUUUAUUGGGCGUAAAGGGCGUGUAGGCUGGAACGUAAGUCAACUGUGAAAUCCCGGGGCUCAACCCCGGAACGGCAUUUGAGACUGCGUUUCUUGAGGGUAGGCGGAGAAAAUGGAAUUCCACGUGUAGCGGUGAAAUGCGUAGAUAUAUGGAAGAACACCUGUGGCGAAAGCGGUUUUCUAGCUUAUUCCUGACGCUGAGGCGCGAAAGCAAGGGGAUCAAACAGG
RNAcentral lists this ribosomal RNA (253 nucleotides) under uncultured bacterium. Its description in RNAcentral is "partial 16S ribosomal RNA". It matches the Rfam family "Bacterial small subunit ribosomal RNA", at positions 524 to 776 of the family's 1533-position model. The record is from RNAcentral.